UGAGGAAUAUUGGACAAUGGGGGCAACCCUGAUCCAGCCAUGCCGCGUGAGUGAAGAAGGCCUUCGGGUUGUAAAGCUCUUUCAGGUGCGACGAUAAUGACGGUACCACCAGAAGAAGCCCCGGCUAAAUUCGUGCCAGCAGCCGCGGUAAUACGAAUGGGGCAAGCGUUGUUCGGAAUCACUGGGCUUAAAGCGUGCGUAGGCGGCAAUGAAAGUCAGAAGUGAAAUCCCUGGGCUCAACCCAGGAAUUGCUUUUGAAACUCCAUUGCUAGAAUCCAGGAGAGGUUAGCAGAAUUCCCAGUGUAGAGGUGAAAUUCGCAGAUAUUGGGAGGAAUACCAGUGGCGUAGGCGGCUAACUGGACUGGUUUUGACGCUGAGGUACGAAAGCGUGGGUAGCAAACAGG
RNAcentral lists this ribosomal RNA (404 nucleotides) under uncultured bacterium. RNAcentral describes it as "bacterial SSU rRNA". It matches the Rfam family "Bacterial small subunit ribosomal RNA", at positions 355 to 776 of the family's 1533-position model. The record is from RNAcentral.